This 205-nucleotide long non-coding RNA is filed under the name Mytilus galloprovincialis (Mediterranean mussel). The record is from RNAcentral. Lineage: Eukaryota; Metazoa; Mollusca; Bivalvia; Mytilida; Mytilidae.
GAAAUAUGGGUCAAGAGUGUUGUAGUUCCACUAUUUAAAAAAGGUCAAGUUGAUGAUACAGGAAAUUACAGAGGAAUUUCGCUUGUGUCUCAUGUUAGGAAAUUGUUUACUUCUGUCAUUAAUACAAGACUAUUAAAGUGGUGCAAAGAAUCCAGUAUAUUGACUGAUGCGCAGUUUGGAUUUGUCCCCGGAUAUGGUACACACG